RNAcentral lists this ribosomal RNA (1704 nucleotides) under Triticum aestivum (bread wheat). Its description in RNAcentral is "partial small subunit ribosomal RNA". Lineage: Eukaryota; Viridiplantae; Streptophyta; Magnoliopsida; Poales; Poaceae. The record is from RNAcentral.
AUGCAUGAGCACUCCAAGACAAACACCCAGGAACUCAACCAUUCCCUAAUCCCUAGACAUGAACUCGACCAUUCCCUAGAGAUGAAGAUCGAAAGAGGACGACGAGAAAAGAAGAGUUUUAACGCUCAGACCGUCGGUCGAUCACCGCAUAGCUCCUGUCAGCGCUACCGAGCCGAGGUUUCCCGACUCCUCUCCUCUGCGUGCAUGGAUCAGGUAGGAGCAGCAGUCUUACUUGCGGUGAAGGGGAGGCGCGCCGUCGAUCGUAUGUGCCGGCGUCGCUCGGAUCAAAGACCGCACGCCGAGGCCCUGGAUGGGUCGACGACCACGGGAGACAUGACGAUGGAUCGAUCGGAGCGACGGUGGGCGAGGAGGAGCUUCUCCGACGGGCUCGAGCUCGAGUCUGAGGCAGCGUGGAUUUUGUUAAGUUUUGCCGAUGCCAAUUCACCAACUACUCGUGGCCACUGGCCAGGCACUGGGCUGACAGAAUCUGUGGUGCUGGAGGGUGCCAGUGAUAGAAGUGGCUCAUCAAAACAGACCGAUCGAGCCCCACGUAGCCAGUUGUCCCCAGCUCGCACCCACGCCCCCGCUCGCCCCCACGCCUCAGCCCCUCCCACGCUGCCUUUUUCUUCUUCUUCACGCCAGAAGCAGAUCCAAAAGAAAUCGCCCCCAACCCUUCUUCCUCCUCCUACACAGCCGCCAUGGGAGCCCCAAAGCAGUAAGAUCAAGCAGGUAAGCCCCCUCUGCACCUCUUCACUUCCCCCUUUCUUCUACUGCAUAGGCAUAUGUAAACCCCCUUCUCCAUGGAUCCAUGGAGAAUCUGCUUCAAAAAAGAGGGAGUGUGUGGCAGCAUCCAAGAACAAGGAAAAAAUGCUUGAUCUCAAUGAGUUGCCUCCAGAUCUCAAUGAGCUUCCUCGUGAUAUGGAUCAGCAGCAACCCAGCAUACAACAAGGAAAUUGGACAGAAAAUGGUCGAUCUGUUUACUACACGCAGGCAAGUCGUGAUGGUAACCCUACGGGCCAUGACAAUGUGGCAGGCCAGUCAUCAGCCCGUGGUGCCCCUGUAGUGGUGUCUUUACAGUCACAGAGCCAUACUCUUGAUGACACAGGAACCGAGGCAAAUGUUCCUGGUCCAACCAGGACUGAGCUAGAAGCUGGGGCUGUUGACAGAGCUGUGCAAGUGAUGUCAACCCUCAAGGACCUCCUCCCCCUCCUGGCUGUACACGGCAUCCUCCGCCACCUCCUCCCCCGCGUGCUCCUCCCAAUGGCCCUACAGGCAGCACUCAGGGGGCUCGUCGUCCAGGUAAUUACCUGCCCCCAACUCCCCAUCAAACUAGGUGAUGCCAACCCUCAAAGACCUCCUCCCCCGCCAGGCCCAACUAGCAGUGCCCUUUGUGCUACUCCCAAUGGACCUAUAGGCAGCACUCAGGGGGCUCAUCACCCAGGCGACUACAAUCCAAGUACCAUGACAGGCCGUGCUACUGCAGGUGAUCGUGACGGUCCUACUGCCCCGUUGGAGGCUGCAUCCCUUGCACAAGCUUCUGAUGAUUUUGUGCCCAGGGAUCCUCCAAGGUCUACUACAAAGGGUAGGGCAAAGAGUCGACGAUACAAAUCGGCGCUGGAGCUACACCCAAAGAAGAAAAACAAAUGCAGUCGGUGCCAAUCUACAGAGCACACUGCUGGUGUGUGUCCACGGAGGCUCCUGUGA